AUUGAACGCUGGCGGCAUGCCUUACACAUGCAAGUCGAACGGCAGCACGGGUGCUUGCACCUGGUGGCGAGUGGCGAACGGGUGAGUAAUACAACGGAACGUACCUUAUCGUGGGGGAUAACGCAGCGAACGCUGUGCUAAUACCGCAUACGCCCUGAGGGGGAACGCGGGGGACCGAAAGACCUCGCGCGAUCAGAGCGGCCGAUGCCUGAUUAGCUUGUUGGUGGGGUAAAAGCCCACCAAGGCGACGAUCAGUAGCUGGUCUGAGAGGACGAUCAGCCACACUGGGACUGAGACACGGCCCAGACUCCUACGGGAGGCAGCAGUGGGGAAUUUUGGACAAUGGGGGCAACCCUGAUCCAGCAAUGCCGCGUGAGUGAAGAAGGCCUUCGGGUUGUAAAGCUCUUUUGUCAGGGAAGAAACGCCGGCUCUAACACAGUCCGGGAAUGACGGUACCUGAAGAAUAAGCACCGGCUAACUACGUGCCAGCCGCCGCAGUAA
RNAcentral lists this ribosomal RNA (501 nucleotides) under uncultured bacterium. RNAcentral's name for it is "partial 16S ribosomal RNA". It matches the Rfam family "Bacterial small subunit ribosomal RNA", at positions 29 to 523 of the family's 1533-position model. The record is from RNAcentral.